Molecule: ribosomal RNA, 253 nt
Filed under: uncultured bacterium
Lineage: Bacteria
Description: partial 16S ribosomal RNA
Rfam family: Bacterial small subunit ribosomal RNA
Source: RNAcentral
UACGUAGGGCGCAAGCGUUGUCCGGAAUUAUUGGGCGUAAAGAGCUCGUAGGCGGCUUGUCACGUCGGGUGUGAAAGCCCGGGGCUUAACCCCGGGUCUGCAUUCGAUACGGGCUAGCUAGAGUGUGGUAGGGGAGAUCGGAAUUCCUGGUGUAGCGGUGAAAUGCGCAGAUAUCAGGAGGAACACCAAUGGCGAAGGCAGCACUCUGGGCCGGUACUGACGCUGAGGAGCGAAAGCGUGGGGAGCAAACAGG